RNAcentral lists this ribosomal RNA (85 nucleotides) under Salmonella enterica subsp. enterica serovar Kentucky. RNAcentral describes it as "partial 23S ribosomal RNA". The record is from RNAcentral. Lineage: Bacteria; Pseudomonadati; Pseudomonadota; Gammaproteobacteria; Enterobacterales; Enterobacteriaceae.
UUGAUAGGCCGGGUGUGUAAGCGCCGCGAUGCGUUGAGCUAACCGGUACUAAUGAACCGUGAGGCGUAACCUUACAACGCCGAAG